Passer domesticus (house sparrow) is the source of this 700-nucleotide long non-coding RNA. RefSeq lists it as uncharacterized. The record is from RefSeq and is a predicted model, not a curated record. NCBI's taxonomy places the organism in Eukaryota, Metazoa, Chordata, Aves, Passeriformes, Passeridae. The transcript has 4 exons.
CUGGUGAUGGUAGAUACCAACAAACCCUGCUAUAGCUAUAGCUUGACCACACAUCACUGGUAGCAGCUCUUGUAGCAAAAGCAGCAGAAGUGUAAUUGUACCUUAUCUGCUACUGAGCCUUCUCUUCCAGUUCAAACUCACAAACACCUGUGGCUUAAGUUCAGACACUGAAAAGACCAUUUGAAAUGGCUCAGGCACAAUCUUUUGCUCCAUCUGUGAUGAAGCUUCAGGUAUACAGUACAGUUGGUUUGAGUGAGAUUUAGGUGGGCUGAGGGGUGAAACACAAUUGUCUGUCUGAUGUGAGGAAUUUCUGAAACGAGAGGAUGGAAUGCUGAGGCUGGCAAACAUAAUGCUCAGUCUCAUCAGCUACUAUUACACGUAUUGGCCAUCCAGAAAGAUACAGCUGUCAUCCGCUGGUCAGACAUAUGCCAAAGAAUCCAGGAGACUCAGGAAGUGUCCGGCUCAAAAAGAAAACCUGAACCUAUGACCAUCAUCCAUUCCAGAGGACCACAGGCCCGACAUGCAAAGCUGAUCCUUGGUACCAGCUCAAAGAAAACCUUCUGAAACAGGCAGUGGAACUCAGUAUCUAGCCAACUCCUCUGUGAAACCUUGUAGCUGAAAUGAUUUUUUCAAUCUAUUAAUUGAAUAGAGAGAAUAAGUCCGAUUUCAUCUGUUCGGGCCGAGGUGCCCCGUUGGUGGC